GGUUUGGGAUGUGGCCUGUUGUCGAGUGCCAGGUUCAGAGCCCGGCAGGUGGCUGGCCAGACCCUGACAGUGUUCAGUGAGGAGGGGCUGGACUGGGCUGGACUGGGCUCAUCCGGCUAGCUUAGCUUGUUCGGAAAUGCACCGUGACACCGGUAAGCUAUAACCAUUCUGCCUGUGUUAUAAGCGCUUUAUAUCCGUGUAGAUAACUCCGGGUUACACUCUGUUGCAUAUUAACGCUGUGUUUUGGGGCUCGCGCACGAUUAUGAGACGCCAGUGUAAGUCAGCUGUGCGCGCGGCUUAGCACGCGUGCUGUAAACAAAACAACUUCAUUUCUGACAAAAAGGCUGGAGGAAGGAAAGUCACUGCAGUGUGAGGACCUCUGAGGCGUUUGAGAGGAAUUCACGGUGUGGUGUUAGACUCUCAACACGAAAACAAGCUCGCUGCUGGUUAGCUGAUUGUUUAGCCCGUUAGCCGGUUUGUUAGCAUAGCUCUAUUUAAGGCCAUGUCUGGUGGGCGCUGUUGUUCUGCUGGAUAAACAGCUCUAGCUUUUAACUGAUUUAACAAUAUUGACAGUUUUAUGAAUAUCAUCCUUUUAUGCACUGAGCUGUGAUUUUAGAGAAAGGCUGCUCUGGUGCUUGUUAUCCACUCAGUGGUUUUAGUUACUGCUAUUUUCUGGGAAAUUAUCCACAACAACAACAAGGCAGAAAUUGGAAACUUGUGCUGUUAUGGUUGCCAGGUUUAUGUGACCAAAUCUGUCCCAAAAUGAGUUCAAUACAAAAAAACACCACUUAAGUGUUUAAACUGUCAAGAGGUGAAGCAUUUGUUAUAGUUUCUGUCACAUCUUUCCAUGAACAAAAGACCCUGAAAGGAUCUUCUCUCAUCCCUGAUGACCCCUGUUAAAUACACAUGUAGGGAUGAACAACUUAUAUAUACACACACACACACACACACACACACACACACAUUUAUGUAAUACAUUAAAUUGUGAUUUUAAAAAGAAGCUAAGCAACUCCAAGUCUUCAAAAAUGUUUCUGAACAUGAGCCAUUUUCCAUGUUGUCUAAGCAGGGUUGCCAGAUGUCAGAAAAUAUCCUGUUAAAUGGCUCUUAAAGCUCACCUAUUAUGGUUUUGAAACGUGCCUAAUUUUUUUUAAAGGUCUCAUACAAUAGAUUUACAUGCAUCCGAGGUCAAAAAACACUUUAAUGUGCUCAUAAUGUAAACUCCAGCAUUAACUUUUUUUCCCAGUGUCACAAACGACCUUAAAUGAUCUGUUCUAAAGGAUUCGUUCUAAACUCCUACUUUCACAAAGCAUACUCUGCUCUGAUUGGUCAGAUGUCCCAGUCUGUUAGUGUUUCAAAAAGGUAACGCCCACUACCAUAACGAGUUUCAGCGACGUCUGUUUGCGAGCAGCCAAUGAAGACGAGAGGCGGGUUUUUUGUUACAAACCUACAUAGAUUAGUACAGGAAGUAAGUCUGGAAUUAUGUAGGUUAGUACAGGAAGUAAGUCUGGAAUUACGUAGGUUAGUACAGGAAGUAAGUCUGGACUUACGUAGGUUAGUACAGGAAGUAAGUCUGGAAUUACGUAGGUUAGUACAGGAAGUAAGUCUGGAAUUACAUAGGUUAGUACAGGAAGUAAGUCUGGAAUUACGUAGGUUAGUACAGGAAGUAAGUCUGGAAUUACGUAGGCUAGUACAGGAAGUAAAGUCUGGAAUUACGUAGGCUAGUACAGGAAGUAAGUCUGGAAUUACGUAGGCUAGUACAGGAAGUAAGUCUGGAAUUACGUAGGCUAGUACAGGAGGUAAAGUCUGGAAUUACGUAGGUUAGUACAGGAGGUAAAGUCUGGAAUUACAUAGGUUAGUACAGGAAGUAAAGUCUGGAAUUACGUAGGCUAGUACAGGAAGUAAAGUCUGGAAUUACGUAGGCUAGUACAGGAAGUAAAGUCUGGAAUUACGUAGGCUAGUACAGGAAGUAAGUCUGGAAUUACGUAGGCUAGUACAGGAAGUAAGUCUGGAAUUACGUAGGCUAGUACAGGAAGUAAGUCUGGAAUUACGUAAGCUAGUACGUAGGUUAGUUUCAGCUGUUAAGAAUCAGUUCCUUCUUUUGGGAGUCUCUGUUGUGCGCUUUGAUUUUUGAAACCUUUUCAGACUUUUUACAUUCACAAACAGCUCUAUAGCACACUACAUGAAAGGUAGUAUUUGAAAAAAUAUUAUAGGUGCAACUUUAAGCAUUGAAAAACAUAUUUUUUUUCUCUGUGAAACAGGUGCACCAUGGUACACACUUUUUUGAUGUGUAAUAUCUCCAGUAUGCUUUUUUUGGUCAUCUCCUGCUAUAGUCCACUCCAUCCAUAACCUCCCUCUCUCACUCCCAAUCUUAUAUAUAAGUAUAUAUUACAACACCAGUGAUUCUGUACAUAUACACGGUCUGCACUUACACUUUCCUUUUGUUUCCUAUAUUGGCUUUAUAUUGCUGUGGUUUCAUCUCAGCACAGGUUUAGUGUGUAAAGCUCGACUAGGACCUAAAUUACACAAGGGCUGUUAAAUGAUUAUUUUAUGAGUAAGAAUAAGAGUUUUUUAAGCCAAUGUGGUCUUUGAAGACAAAAGAGUGUUGUGUUACCUCAGAGACGUUGGGCUGAGUACAUAACCAGCAUUCAGAAAAACAGUUUUGCACUGUUGGAAGUGGAUAUUUUUGUGAGAUUUAGAAGGUAAACUAGUGUAGUUUAAGACAGUUGCCUCCAAGGCUUUAAUUGUAAGUGAUGACUGGUGAGAGCAUCGGUGGUGGACAUUAAAUUUGACUUUAUAUCAUUGUAAAUGUGAGUAUCACAGUGCUGAACCAAGUCAUGUUGAUGUCUUAAUGGCAGCAUAUAUAGGUUGGGUCACAAGCUUGGUCCUAGGAUGACUACAGCCAUGAGAUUUAGGCUACGUCCACAUUAAUCCAGAUCAAUUUGAAAAUGCAUCCUUUUCUGUACGUUUUGGCCUUCUGUUCACACUGAGACUCAGUUUU
This is a long non-coding RNA of Ictalurus punctatus (channel catfish), 2998 nucleotides long. The record is from Ensembl. NCBI's taxonomy places the organism in Eukaryota, Metazoa, Chordata, Actinopteri, Siluriformes, Ictaluridae.